GACAGAGGCCUCAAGCGUUAGGCGGAAUCACUGGGCUUAAAGCGUGUGUAGGCGGAUCGUUAAGUACCUUGUGAAAUCCCACGGCUCAACCGUGGAACUGCUGGGUAUACUGGUUGUCUUGAGCCAGCUAGGGGCGAGCGGAACAGACGGUGGAGCGGUGAAAUGCGUAGAUAUCGUCUGGAACGCCGAAGGUGAAAACAGCUCGCUGGGGCUGCGCUGACGCUGAGACACGAAAGCCAGGGGAGCGAACGGG
RNAcentral lists this ribosomal RNA (253 nucleotides) under uncultured bacterium. RNAcentral's name for it is "partial 16S ribosomal RNA". It matches the Rfam family "Bacterial small subunit ribosomal RNA", at positions 524 to 776 of the family's 1533-position model. The record is from RNAcentral.